RNAcentral lists this long non-coding RNA (250 nucleotides) under Elaeis guineensis (African oil palm). RNAcentral describes it as "long non-coding RNA (EGUI_LNC080352)". The record is from RNAcentral. Lineage: Eukaryota; Viridiplantae; Streptophyta; Magnoliopsida; Arecales; Arecaceae.
CAGUAACUCUUUGCUAAUAGAGUGAUUGCGUGUUCCCGAUGCAACUGAACCACUGUGACCAGCUGAGAACAAUCAAUGUCGGUAGUAUGCCUGCACAUCUACAACAGUGGAAGACCUUGGACAUAACAUUUGGUAGAGAGAUUUAGGUUUAGGUCUCAUUUAAUCAACCAUCAUAUGACUGAUGUAAUUGGCAUGGGCUAAAUCAAACCACCAAGCAACUAUAUUGAAGACUUAAUCUUCCAAAUUGGCC